RNAcentral lists this ribosomal RNA (574 nucleotides) under Centrovarium sp. VT-2007a. RNAcentral's name for it is "partial 28S ribosomal RNA". The record is from RNAcentral. Lineage: Eukaryota; Metazoa; Platyhelminthes; Trematoda; Opisthorchiida; Cryptogonimidae.
GAAAGUUGAAAAGUACUUUGAAGAGAGAGUAAACAGUGCGUGAAACCGCUCAGAGGUAAACGGGUGGAGUUGAACUGUGAUCUCUGUGGAUUUAGCUGGUGAGCAUGGUUUGGGCUUGGUCAAAUUGGUUGAAGCCGGGAAUCUGCGUAGCAGCAGGUCCUCACCUUCGGGUGGGGAUGCGCGAGGCACUCAACAAGUGUUGCGCGUUCCAUGUUUAUCGUGCCAGCUUGCCAGUGCACUUUCACAGAGUGGUCACCACGACCGGCAUUGCUGUCUGGCUGUUGCGGUUAAACCGGCCUUUCUUUGUCCUCGUGGCUUUGAAUGGUCGGGAUGGCAGGUAGCUCGUUGGCUAGGCUUGUGGUUCGCUGCAGGCUUCCGGCUCUCGGGUGUAAUCAGCUGACCGCAUUGGUUCUGUGCAGUAUGUCGGAGACGGCGGCUUGUGGUACAUGCGUGCGUACUAGUUGGUUGGCGAACUCGAGUUUGGUUAUUAUGUUGCUUGUGUAAGCAGGCCUAGUGAUGGCCCGGGUUCGUUUGACUGGCAGUUGCGUGCGUAGUGCUUUCCAGGGCCAACAGU